RNAcentral lists this ribosomal RNA (594 nucleotides) under Achromobacter sp. Its description in RNAcentral is "bacterial SSU rRNA". It matches the Rfam family "Bacterial small subunit ribosomal RNA", at positions 31 to 625 of the family's 1533-position model. Lineage: Bacteria; Pseudomonadati; Pseudomonadota; Betaproteobacteria; Burkholderiales; Alcaligenaceae. The record is from RNAcentral.
AAACACGUAGGCGGCUGCUUAACAUGCAGUCGUACAGGUAACCGUAACUUCUGGUGGCGAAUGGCGAACGGGUGAGUAAUGUAUCGGAACGUGCCCAGUAUCGGGGGAUAACUACGCGAAAGCGUAGCUAAUACCGCAUACGCCCUACGGGGGAAAGCAGGGGAUCGCAAGACCUUGCACUAUUGGAGCGGCCGAUAUCGGAUUAGCUAGUUGGUGGGGUAACGGCUCACCAAGGCGACGAUCCGUAGCUGGUUUGAGAGGACGACCAGCCACACUGGGACUGAGACACGGCCCAGACUCCUACGGGAGGCAGCAGUGGGGAAUUUUGGACAAUGGGGGAAACCCUGAUCCUGCCAUCCCGCGUGUGCGAUGAAGGCCUUCGGGUUGUAAAGCACUUUUGGCAGGAAAGAAACGUCAUGGGUUAAUACCCCGUGAAACUGACGGUACCUGCAGAAUAAGCACCGGCUAACUACGUGCCAGCAGCCGCGGUAAUACGUAGGGUGCAAGCGUUAAUCGUAAUUACUGGGCGUAAAGCGUGCGCAGGCGGACCGGAAAGAAAGAUGUGAAAUCCCAGAGCUUAACUUUGGAACUGCA